CCUACGGGUGGCAGCAGUGAGGAAUAUUGGUCAAUGGCCGAGAGGCUGAACCAGCCAAGUCGCGUGAGGGAAGACGGCCCUACGGGUUGUAAACCUCUUUUGUCGGGGAGCAAAGCGAACCACGUGUGGUUCAUUGAGAGUACGCGAAGAAAAAGCAUCGGCAAACACCGUGCCAGCAGCCGCGGUAAUACGGGGGAUGCGAGCGUUAUCCGGAUUUAUUGGGUUAAAAGGGUGCGCAGGCGGAGGUGCAAGUCAGCGGUCAAAUUGCGGGGCUAAACCCGGUACUGCCGUUGAAACUGCAUCCCUUGAGUGCGCGAGAGGUAUGCGGAAUGCGUGGUGUAGCGGUGAAAUGCAUAGAUAUCACGCAGAACACCGAUUGCGAAGGCAGCAUACCGGCGCGCAACUGACGCUCAUGCACGAAAGCGUGGGUAUCGAACAGGAUUAGAUACCCCAGUAGUC
This 459-nucleotide ribosomal RNA is filed under the name uncultured bacterium. RNAcentral describes it as "partial 16S ribosomal RNA". It matches the Rfam family "Bacterial small subunit ribosomal RNA", at positions 338 to 795 of the family's 1533-position model. The record is from RNAcentral.